CACAUGCUGUAACCGCUCCGGACAGGUUCCAAGCAUGAGGCUGCGAGCAGCGUCAUCACCUGAUUCAGGCGAGUCUGAGACAUGAG
This is a regulatory RNA element of Paenibacillus dendritiformis C454, 86 nucleotides long. The record is from Rfam. NCBI's taxonomy places the organism in Bacteria, Bacillati, Bacillota, Bacilli, Caryophanales, Paenibacillaceae.